Molecule: ribosomal RNA, 549 nt
Filed under: uncultured Glomus
Lineage: Eukaryota; Fungi; Glomeromycota; Glomeromycetes; Glomerales; Glomeraceae
Description: SSU rRNA
Rfam family: Eukaryotic small subunit ribosomal RNA
Source: RNAcentral
UUGGAGGGCAAGUCUGGUGCCAGCAGCCGCGGUAAUUCCAGCUCCAAUAGCGUAUAUUAAAGUUGUUGCAGUUAAAAAGCUCGUAGUUGAAUUUCGGGGUUAGUAGGUUGGUCAUGCCUCUGGUAUGUACUGGUCUCACUGAUUCCUCCUUCCUUAUGAACCGUAAUGCCAUUAAUUUGGUGUUGCGGGGAAUUUGGACUGUUACUUUGAAAAAAUUAGAGUGUUUAAAGCAAGCUAACGCUUGAAUACAUUAGCAUGGAAUAAUGAAAUAGGACGUUCGAUCUUAUUUUGUUGGUUUCUAGGAUUGACGUAAUGAUUAAUAGGGAUAGUUGGGGGCAUUAGUAUUCAAUUGUCAGAGGUGAAAUUCUUGGAUUUAUUGAAGACUAACUACUGCGAAAGCAUUUGCCAAGGAUGUUCUCAUUAAUCAAGAACGAAAGUUAGGGGAUCGAAGACGAUCAGAUACCGUCGUAGUCUUAACCAUAAACUAUGCCGACUAGGGAUCGGAUGAUGUUAAUUUUUUAAUGACUCAUUCGGCACCUUACGGGAAAC